CGGGGCGUAGCGUAGCCCGGUUCAUCGCGCCUGCUUUGGGAGCAGGAGGUCGCAGGUUCGAAUCCUGCCGCCCCGACAA
Molecule: transfer RNA, 79 nt
Filed under: Ignavibacteria bacterium CG2_30_36_16
Lineage: Bacteria; Pseudomonadati; Ignavibacteriota; Ignavibacteria
Description: tRNA-Pro
Rfam family: tRNA
About the family: Transfer RNA (tRNA) molecules are approximately 80 nucleotides in length. Their secondary structure includes four short double-helical elements and three loops (D, anti-codon, and T loops). Further hydrogen bonds mediate the characteristic L-shaped molecular structure. tRNAs have two regions of fundamental functional importance: the anti-codon, which is responsible for specific mRNA codon recognition, and the 3' end, to which the tRNAs corresponding amino acid is attached (by aminoacyl-tRNA synthetases). tRNAs cope with the degeneracy of the genetic code in two manners: having more than one tRNA (with a specific anti-codon) for a particular amino acid; and 'wobble' base-pairing, i.e. permitting non-standard base-pairing at the 3rd anti-codon position.
Source: RNAcentral